RNAcentral lists this ribosomal RNA (275 nucleotides) under uncultured prokaryote. Its description in RNAcentral is "partial 16S ribosomal RNA". It matches the Rfam family "Bacterial small subunit ribosomal RNA", at positions 524 to 798 of the family's 1533-position model. The record is from RNAcentral.
UACGGAGGAUCCGAGCGUUAUCCGGAUUUAUUGGGUUUAAAGGGUGCGCAGGCGGGAGAUUAAGUCGGCGGUGAAAUUUUGCAGCUCAACUGCAAAAGUGCCUUCGAAACUGGCUUUCUUGAGUGUGGAUGAAGUAGGCGGAAUUUGUAGUGUAGCGGUGAAAUGCAUAGAUAUUACAAGGAACUCCGAUUGCGAAGGCAGCUUACUAAAUUACAACUGACGCUUAGGCACGAAGGCGUGGGUAUCAAACAGGAUUAGAUACCCGUGUAGUCCCU